Molecule: ribosomal RNA, 163 nt
Filed under: uncultured bacterium
Lineage: Bacteria
Description: partial 16S rRNA
Rfam family: Bacterial small subunit ribosomal RNA
Source: RNAcentral
UAGGGAAUCUUCCACAAUGGGCGCAAGCCUGAUGGAGCAACACCGCGUGAGUGAAGAAGGGUUUCGGCUCGUAAAGCUCUGUUGUUAAAGAAGAACACGUAUGAGAGUAACUGUUCAUACGUUGACGGUAUUUAACCAGAAAGUCACGGCUAACUACGUACCA